GCUGGGCGUGGUAGCGCAUGCCUGUAAUCCCAGCUACUUGGGAGGCUGAGGCAGGAGAAUUGCUUGAAUCCGGGAGGCGGAGGUUGCAGUGAGUGGAGGUUGCAGUGAGCCGAGAUCAUACCACUGCACUUCAGCCUGGACAACAGAGUGAGACUCUGUCUCAA
Molecule: unclassified non-coding RNA, 164 nt
Organism: Macaca fascicularis (crab-eating macaque)
Lineage: Eukaryota; Metazoa; Chordata; Mammalia; Primates; Cercopithecidae
Rfam family: Metazoan signal recognition particle RNA
About the family: The signal recognition particle (SRP) is a universally conserved ribonucleoprotein. It is involved in the co-translational targeting of proteins to membranes.
Source: Ensembl